Non-coding RNA from Triticum aestivum (bread wheat), 113 nucleotides. The record is from Rfam. NCBI's taxonomy places the organism in Eukaryota, Viridiplantae, Streptophyta, Magnoliopsida, Poales, Poaceae.
CUGGUACUCCCUCCGUUCGGAAUUACUUGUCGCAUAAAUAAAUGUAUGUAGACGUAUUUUAGUUCUAUAUACAUUCAUUUCCGAGAAGUAAUUCCGAAUGGAGGGAGUACUAU